GACGAACGCUGGCGGCGUGCUUAACACAUGCAAGUCGAACGGAAAGUCCCUGCUUUUUUGGGGUGCUCGAGUGGCGAACGGGUGAGUAACCCGUAAGUAACCUGCCCUUGACUUUAGGAGAACUUCAGGAAACUUAGGCUAAUACGGGAAAAGAGCUCCUGCUGCUUGGUGGGGGCUGGAAAGGUUCGGUGGUUGGGGAUGGAAUUGCGGCUUAUCAGCUUGUUGGUGGGGUAGGGGCUGACCACGGCUUUGACGGGUGGCCGUCCUGCGCGGGUGACAGGACACAGUGCAACUGGGAUGAGGCCCAGACUCAUACUGGAAGCAGCGGUGGCGAAUGUUGCAGUAGGGGCGGGCGCCUGAUACAGAAAAGCCGCGUGCGGGAUGGCGGUCUUCGGGUUGUAAUCGGAUUUCACCUGUGACGAAGCGUGAGUGACGGUAACGGGAAAAGAAGCACCGGCUAACUACGUG
RNAcentral lists this ribosomal RNA (468 nucleotides) under uncultured bacterium. RNAcentral describes it as "partial 16S ribosomal RNA". It matches the Rfam family "Bacterial small subunit ribosomal RNA", at positions 28 to 507 of the family's 1533-position model. The record is from RNAcentral.